RNAcentral lists this ribosomal RNA (464 nucleotides) under uncultured bacterium. RNAcentral's name for it is "partial 16S ribosomal RNA". It matches the Rfam family "Bacterial small subunit ribosomal RNA", at positions 28 to 507 of the family's 1533-position model. The record is from RNAcentral.
GACGAAUGCUGGCGGCGUGCUUAACACAUGCAAGUCGAACGGAAAGGCCCUGCUUGCCGGGUACUCGAGUGGCGAACGGGUGAGUAACACGUGGGUGAUCUGCCCUGCACUUCGGGAUAAGCCUGGGAAACUGGGUCUAAUACCGGAUAGGAGCCAUUUUUAGUGUGAUGGUUGGAAAGUUUUUUCGGUGUAGGAUGAGCUCGCGGCCUAUCAGCUUGUUGGUGGGGUAAUGGCCUACCAAGGCGGCGACGGGUAGCCGGCCUGAGAGGGUGGACGGCCACAUUGGGACUGAGAUACGGCCCAGACUCCUACGGGAGGCAGCAGUGGGGAAUAUUGCACAAUGGGCGCAAGCCUGAUGCAGCGACGCCGCGUGGGGGAUGACGGCCUUCGGGUUGUAAACUCCUUUCGCUAGGGACGAAGCUUUUGUGACGGUACCUGGAUAAGAAGCACCGGCUAACUACGUG